This is a long non-coding RNA of Meriones unguiculatus (Mongolian gerbil), 1469 nucleotides long. RefSeq lists it as uncharacterized. Lineage: Eukaryota; Metazoa; Chordata; Mammalia; Rodentia; Muridae. The transcript has 3 exons. The record is from RefSeq and is a predicted model, not a curated record.
ACAAUAGGGAGUGGCGGGGGAGCCAAUGCCCAGGCUGCGCCUGCGCACAGAGCGCUCAAGGCUCACCACGCUCCAGGCCGUGUUUUGGGUGGUUCGACGCCCUCUAGAGACCAGAGGAGGGGUUACAGGAACUCGUUGAACUCCCGCUGGACGGGACAUAAUUGGCGCCCAACGUGGGGCUGAGGCACGGGGAUUGAAUUGAACGUCGUUCUUUGUGGGCCCACACAAGUUCAUAGGAUCGCCGCUUCUACAGGAGAAGUGAGUGAAGAUCCUGCAUAAGAGAUCUCCACAGAACCACCCGUCUGUGAGUCUGAUCCGGAGAGGAAAAUGAUGCAGCUUGAUGGCUACUGGAAUGCCUGGUGCAACAAGUGGAUGAGGAGUUUUCUCCUGAUAAUGAUAAUGAUGUCAAAGAAGACCCCGCCAGUCAAGAUGACUGCUAUGUGCUGUCCUCAAGGAAGAAUGUUGUUCUUACAUGGACUAUUCUGGGGUUGUGAAAGUCAGCAUGGCUAAAGUUAGAGAGGAUAAAAAGACAGAGAGAACAAGAGGAAAGUUGGUUUAAUAAUUGGUUUUCAACCUCUCCCUGGCUCACUACUCUCCUACCUUCAGUCUUGGGACCCAUGGUGGGCUUCCUUCUUCUCAUAUCUUUCAGCCCAUGAGCCAUCAAAAGGCUUACUAGCUUUGUAAAAGAACAAAUUGACUCCCUGGCAUCUAAACCCAUACAAGUUCAUUAUCACGGACUUGAUUUGGCUGACAGAGGCUUAGCUGAGCCCGAGGAAAACUGGUAACAGUCCAUCACAUGGGUCUUGAUUGCAUUUGGCUCUCAUGAGAACAGCAUAAAACUCAGAUAAGUGCUUGCCUAAUGUGGCAUGGGCACCAUAGGGGUGUAGGAAAAGGUACCACAGGGGAAGGACCCAAUUGUCCACUUCUGAGUUCCCCGAGAAGCAAACCUGAUUGCAUAGAGGUUGGUGUCUGAUUACCCCUAACCACAACCUGCUGGGGAUGCUCUCAGGUGUUGAUGGGGUCUUCCUCUCCUCCCCAAAAAGACACCCAAAAAGGCUGCAAAAUGCCCUGGGAGGAUCAUGUCUGUACUUCCCCCCUCUGGUUAAUGCCCACUGUCUUCAAAAGACCUCAUGUUCAUAACCUACCUGCUAGCCUCUUAAAUUAUUUGAGAAAGGGAGGAGAUGCCGGGAGCCACAGCCAGCUAGUGGAAAGUUACAGACAGCUGCAACAAGGUUGUAGGUGAGAGAUUUACAUUUCCGGAACCUAUGAGACAUCUGUGCAUCAGGCUAGACAUUUUGAGCUAUCUUAGCUGACAUUCUUGUAGUAUCUCUUUUAGUAAACAUUCUUGUGGUGUUCUGCAUCAUCAUUAAUCACCCUGUUAUGUUUUGUAAACUAUAUUGCUGACACAUUUUCCCUUCCCGCCUUCUCCCUAUAAAGUUGUGUGAAAAUUUUCAAAUAAAGGAGAGCAA